RNAcentral lists this ribosomal RNA (442 nucleotides) under uncultured Prevotella sp. Its description in RNAcentral is "bacterial SSU rRNA". It matches the Rfam family "Bacterial small subunit ribosomal RNA", at positions 355 to 794 of the family's 1533-position model. The record is from RNAcentral. Lineage: Bacteria; Pseudomonadati; Bacteroidota; Bacteroidia; Bacteroidales; Prevotellaceae.
UGAGGAAUAUUGGUCAAUGGGCGGAAGCCUGAACCAGCCAAGUAGCGUGAGGGAAGACUGCCCUAUGGGUUGUAAACCUCUUUUAUAAGGGAAUAAAAUACGGGACGUGUCCUGUCUUGCAUGUACCUUAUGAAUAAGGACCGGCUAAUUCCGUGCCAGCAGCCGCGGUAAUACGGAAGGUCCGGGCGUUAUCCGGAUUUAUUGGGUUUAAAGGGAGCGUAGGCCGUCUGGUAAGCGUGUUGUGAAAUGUCGUUGCUCAACAACGUCACUGCAGCGCGAACUGCCGGGCUUGAGUGUGCGGAAAGCGGGCGGAAUUUGUGGUGUAGCGGUGAAAUGCUUAGAUAUCACGAAGAACUCCGAUUGCGAAGGCAGCUCGCUGUAGCAUUACUGACGCUGAAGCUCGAAGGUGCGGGUAUCGAACAGGAUUAGAUACCCUGGUAGU